Molecule: ribosomal RNA, 408 nt
Filed under: uncultured bacterium
Lineage: Bacteria
Description: partial 16S ribosomal RNA
Rfam family: Bacterial small subunit ribosomal RNA
Source: RNAcentral
GACGAACGCUGGCGGCGUGCUUAACACAUGCAAGUCGAACGAAGUGGCGAACGGGUGAGUAACGCGUAAUCAACCUGCCCUUCAGAGGGGGACAACAGUUGGAAACGACUGCUAAUACCGCAUACUGAAGGAGGGGAUUGCGUCUGAUUAGCUAGUGGGAGGGGUAACGGCCCACCAAGGCGCUGAUCAGUAGCCGGUCUGAGAGGAUGAACGGCCACAUUGGGACUGAGACACGGCCCAGACUCCUACGGGAGGCAGCAGUGGGGAAUCUUCCGCAAUGGACGAAAGUCUGACGGAGCAACGCCGCGUGAGUGAAGAAGGUUUUCGGAUCGUAAAGCUCUGUUGUUAAGGAAGCGGUACCGGAAUAGAAAGCCACGGCUAACUACGUGCCAGCAGCCGCGGUAAUUC